UUUACCUUUGGAGCCCUAACCUCACUGAAUUCUCUCACUCGUUCAAGAUGCCUCUCUCUCUGCCCUAACCCUCACUGAAAUCUCAUUCGUGAAGCUCAAGAGCUCUCUCUCUCUCUCCCCUCUGUCUAACCAGCGAAGCAAGACCAAGCCACACAUCUCGGCACACAGCAUCAGCGAACAUGGAGGUCUUCUCCACUUUGUUUCUUUCUGAUGGCCGAUUCUAUUUGGUGUGAAAUAAAGCCAAACCUAGGUUGUAUCUCUCUCUCCUUCACAAUUUAAUUCAUGGACGAAUCUAGGGUUUGGGGUAAUUUUUCAUGUAUUUUUCUGUCUAUACUAUGUGAUUUUGGUAUGGGUUUUUAUUUUUUUUCUUUUGGUUUUUCAUCUAUUUUGCACAUUCAAUCCAAGAUUUCAUAUUCAAUCCAUUUAUUUCCAUCUAUUUCUGCCUAUGCCUCAAGAAUCCUUUUCCGCUCCAAGGGCUCUGCAGGUGGUCGAACUAGAAAUAAGUAGGAGUAAGCUUGGUUGUGGCUUCCAUUAAUUUGUAAGAAUAAUCUUGGCUACAGCUUCUAUUUCUGCUUGAAUCUUGUAUUCUUUUCCAAUGGUUCAACUAUUUCUUCGAUUUCAACCCUAAUUGUGACUUUUAUUUGACUGUCUACUUUAUUUUAGUUUUGAUGUUGUGAGUUAGAUCGAUUACGAGAAUAUAAUUUGAUGGUGCGAUUGUGGUUAUAUAUAUAUAUAUAUAUAUAUAUAUAUAUAUAUAUAGAUGUAUAUUUUUACACAUGUAUGAAUUUUUUGUAUUGACAAGAUAUGGGUUUUCAUGCUGAAAAUUGGAGGGUUGGUGGUGGGAAAGAUUAGGGUUUUCAAGGCUAGCAUAUGAUUAGGGGUUGUGCACCAGAUCGAUCCAAUUUCACAAGGUGGAGGUCUCAAGGAAUCGAGUGUCGCGGUCAGGACUAAAAGGGCAAUCCCCUUCACAGAGACAAAGUGGCUCUUUUGUUCCAACUACACACAGAGACAGAGAGAAUGCAUGUCCAUUAAAUACACAAACAAGAGGACUCUUACUAGGACCACACAAAGGAAAAAGGGCCACAAAUUGGUUUACCACAGACAACGAACUACAUACCUGUAUUUGCCCAAUUGAGAGCUAGAGGAAGUGGGAUAGGAGGAUCUCAGAAUCCAAAAAGUACUUGAAAUGAUGUGGGAUAUGGGACAUUUGUAAUGUUGAACAGUGUCAUUUUUUUUCCUGGUAUUUUGCGAUCUGUUGGUGUUAGCUAUUUUUGAACUUUUAAAGAAGAA
Cornus florida is the source of this 1290-nucleotide long non-coding RNA. RefSeq lists it as uncharacterized. The record is from RefSeq and is a predicted model, not a curated record. NCBI's taxonomy places the organism in Eukaryota, Viridiplantae, Streptophyta, Magnoliopsida, Cornales, Cornaceae. The transcript has 2 exons.